GCCGGCGACCGGCGCAAGGGUGCGUAACGCGUGAGCAACAUGCCCGUAUCAGGGGGAUAAUCCAUGGAAACGUGGUCUAAUACCCCAUAGUAAUUAUGUAAGGCAUCUUAUAUAAUUUAAAGCUUUGGUGGAUACGGAUUGGCUCGCGUGACAUUAGCUGGAUGGUAAGGUAACGGCUUACCAUGGCUACGAUGUCUAGGGGUUCUGAGAGGAAGGUCCCCCACACUGGAACUGAGACACGGUCCAGACUCCUACGGGAGGCAGCAGUGAGGAAUAUUGGACAAUGGAUGGAAAUCUGAUCCAGCCAUGCCGCGUGGACCAGGAAGACGGCCCUAUGGGUUGUAAACUGCUUUUGUAUGGGAGCAAUAAGGGCUACGUGUAGUCCGAUGAGAGUACCAUACGAAUAAGCACCGGCUAACUCCGUGCCAGCAGCGGC
RNAcentral lists this ribosomal RNA (436 nucleotides) under uncultured bacterium. Its description in RNAcentral is "bacterial SSU rRNA". It matches the Rfam family "Bacterial small subunit ribosomal RNA", at positions 87 to 518 of the family's 1533-position model. The record is from RNAcentral.